This 147-nucleotide ribosomal RNA is filed under the name Bacillus licheniformis. RNAcentral's name for it is "partial 23S ribosomal RNA". It matches the Rfam family "Bacterial large subunit ribosomal RNA", at positions 1 to 147 of the family's 2925-position model. The record is from RNAcentral. Lineage: Bacteria; Bacillati; Bacillota; Bacilli; Caryophanales; Bacillaceae. RNAcentral also lists the same sequence under 1 other name.
GGUUAAGUUAGAAAGGGCGCACGGUGGAUGCCUUGGCACUAGGAGCCGAUGAAGGACGGGACGAACACCGAUAUGCUUCGGGGAGCUGUAAGCAAGCUUUGAUCCGGAGAUUUCCGAAUGGGGAAACCCACUGCUCGUAAUGGAGCA